CCUGGGGAUAACAGGCUUAUCGCCCCCAAGAGUCCACAUCGACGGGGAGGUUUGGAACCUCGAUGUCGGCUCAUCACAUCCUGGGGCUGUAGUAGGUCCCAAGGGUUGGGCUGUUCGCCCAUUAAAGUGGUACGCGAGCUGGGUUCAGAACGUCGUGAGACAGUUCGGUCCCUAUCCGUCGCAGGCGUAGGAAAUUUGAGAAGACCUGGCCUUAGUACGAGAGGACCGGGAUGGACGUACCUCUGGUGUACCAGUUGUCCUGCCAAGGGCAUGGCUGGGUAGCUAUGUACGGAAUGGAUAAGCGCUGAAAGCAUCUAAGCGCGAAG
This 326-nucleotide ribosomal RNA is filed under the name Clostridioides difficile. RNAcentral's name for it is "bacterial LSU rRNA". It matches the Rfam family "Bacterial large subunit ribosomal RNA", at positions 2467 to 2792 of the family's 2925-position model. Lineage: Bacteria; Bacillati; Bacillota; Clostridia; Peptostreptococcales; Peptostreptococcaceae. The record is from RNAcentral.